CCUACGGGUAGCAGCAGUGAGGAAUAUUGGUCAAUGGACGAGAGUCUGAACCAGCCAAGUAGCGUGAAGGAUUACUGCCCUAUGGGUUGUAAACUUCUUUUAUAUGGGAAUAAAACGUUCCACGUGUGGGAUUUUGUAUGUACCAUAUGAAUAAGGAUCGGCUAACUCCGUGCCAGCAGCCGCGGUAAUACGGAGGAUCCGAGCGUUAUCCGGAUUUAUUGGGUUUAAAGGGAGCGUAGGUGGAUUGUUAAGUCAGUUGUGAAAGUUUGCGGCUCAACCGUAAAAUUGCAGUUGAAACUGGCAGUCUUGAGUACAGUAGAGGUGGGCGGAAUUCGUGGUGUAGCGGUGAAAUGCUUAGAUAUCACGAAGAACUCCGAUUGCGAAGGCAGUUCACUGGACUGCAACUGACACUGAGGCUCGAAAGUGUGGGUAUCAAACAGGAGUAGAUACCCGGGUAGUC
Molecule: ribosomal RNA, 460 nt
Filed under: uncultured bacterium
Lineage: Bacteria
Description: partial 16S ribosomal RNA
Rfam family: Bacterial small subunit ribosomal RNA
Source: RNAcentral